Molecule: ribosomal RNA, 465 nt
Filed under: uncultured bacterium
Lineage: Bacteria
Description: partial 16S ribosomal RNA
Rfam family: Bacterial small subunit ribosomal RNA
Source: RNAcentral
GACGAACGCUGGCGGCGUGCUUAACACAUGCAAGUCGUACGGUAAGGCCCUUUCUGGGGUACACGAGUGGCGAACGGGUGAGUAACACGUGAGUAACCUGCCCACAACUUUGGGAUAACGCUAGGAAACUGGUGCUAAUACUGGAUAUGUGCUCCUGCUGCAUGGUGGGGGUUGGAAAGCUCCGGCGGUGGUGGAUGGACUCGCGGCCUAUCAGCUUGUUGGUGGGGUAGUGGCCUACCAAGGCGGCGACGGGUAGCCGGCCUGAGAGGGUGACCGGCCACAUUGGGACUGAGAUACGGCCCAGACUCCUACGGGAGGCAGCAGUGGGGAAUAUUGCACAAUGGGCGCAAGCCUGAUGCAGCAACGCCGCGUGCGGGAUGACGGCCUUCGGGUUGUAAACCGCUUUCAGCAGGGACGAAGCGUUUUGUGACGGUACCUGGAGAAGAAGCACCGGCUAACUACGUG